ACCUUAGAACGAUCACAGUUCAUAAUUGAAUGAAAUAUUUACAGUACGUUAUGUGGAGUAAACUUUUGUACAUACGGAUAUAUCAAAAAAAUAUGUACAAUUAAUGAUAGCAUCAUAAUAAAGGAUUAAAAAAUUAAAUUGAGCAUUACAAGAAAGAAGUAUAAGUGAAAUCUUAAAUCAAUUCAAUACUACCAAAAUAUUGCACUACUUUCUAAACAUGGGAACUAUUUGAAGCUUUGAGUGCUAUGUCCUGUUAUGGAUGUUACUAUAACAACUAACUGUUUAGACUAAUGAGAGAUGUAUGUUGAUGUUGUUGGGAUAUAAAAAUAGUAAAUAGUUUCUAUGAACUCACUUAUCAGACACAACGCCCCCCACAACCACUCCCACAGAGCCGAUGACGACUGUGACGGCGAAGAGCCACCAGCCUAGGUCCACGUCCGGGAAAUAGUCGCGAUAGUACAGGUCGGAGUUGUAAGCGAAGGUCAUACCACCUGGUGGAAAAUUCGGUAUUUAAUAGCUACACUAAGGUCAGGUUGUUACAACACUAUGUCCACUUAACAUGGGUCCUCGAACUGUGAUUAAGUGGUCCAACUUACCGCAGUGUCUGAUAGAGGCUGCAAGGCAUAACAGCAAUAUCCUCGGUUGGCAAAUCACGUGCCAGAUGGUGACUUGAGGCAUUUUCUUGCCAGCUUCCAAUGUUGCGUCACCACCUUUGUUGGUCCCCGUACCUGUUGUAAAAUUUACCAUUGUGACACCAGUUUAGGGCAACUUUCACGUGUGCUAAGAAGUCUCUUUUAUAGAGAA
Danaus plexippus (monarch butterfly) is the source of this 804-nucleotide long non-coding RNA. RefSeq lists it as uncharacterized. The transcript is spliced from 3 exons. NCBI's taxonomy places the organism in Eukaryota, Metazoa, Arthropoda, Insecta, Lepidoptera, Nymphalidae. The record is from RefSeq and is a predicted model, not a curated record.